GGCGAAGGUGGCGAGCGUUGUUCGGAAUCACUGGGCUUAAAGCGCAUGUAGGCGGCCUGUCAAGUGUCUUGUGAAAUCCCCCGGCUCAACCGGGGAAUUGCUGGGCAAACUGAUGGGCUUGAGGCAGGUAGGGGCGAGUGGAACUCUUGGUGGAGCGGUGGAAUGCGUAGAUAUCAAGAGGAACGCCGGAGGUGAAGACGGCUCGCUGGGCCGGUCCUGACGCUGAGAUGCGAAAGCCAGGGGAGCAAACGGG
RNAcentral lists this ribosomal RNA (253 nucleotides) under uncultured bacterium. Its description in RNAcentral is "partial 16S ribosomal RNA". It matches the Rfam family "Bacterial small subunit ribosomal RNA", at positions 524 to 776 of the family's 1533-position model. The record is from RNAcentral.